AAGUCGUAACAAGGUCUCCGUUGGUGAACCAGCGGAGGGAUCAUUACUGAGUACUACACUCUCUACCCUUUGUGAACUAUUAUACCUGUUGCUUCGGCGGCGCCCGCAAGGGUGCCCGCCGGUCUCAUCAGAAUCUCUGUUUUCGAACCCGACGAUACUUCUGAGUGUUCUUAGCGAACUGUCAAAACUUUUAACAACGGAUCUCUUGGCUCCAGCAUCGAUGAAGAACGCAGCGAAACGCGAUAUGUAAUGUGAGUUGCAGAAUUCAGUGAAUCAUCGAAUCUUUGAACGCACAUGGCGCCUUCCAGUAUCCUGGGAGGCAUGCCUGUCCGAGCGUCGUUUCAACCCUCGAGCCCCUGUGGCCCGGCGUUGGGGAUCUGCCACGGCAGGCCCCUAAAACCAGUGGCGGACCCGAAGGGCCCUCUCCUUUGCGCAGUAGCAUUCGCCUCGCAUCGGGAGUCCUCGGCGUCCUGCCUCUAAACCCCCCACAAGCCCGCUUCGGCGGCACCAAGGUUGACCUCGGAUCAGGUAGGAAUACCCGCUGAACUUAA
RNAcentral lists this ribosomal RNA (551 nucleotides) under uncultured fungus. RNAcentral's name for it is "eukaryotic LSU rRNA". The stretch from base 186 to 339 matches the Rfam family "5.8S ribosomal RNA". Lineage: Eukaryota; Fungi. The record is from RNAcentral.